This is a non-coding RNA of Tetracentron sinense, 118 nucleotides long. Lineage: Eukaryota; Viridiplantae; Streptophyta; Magnoliopsida; Trochodendrales; Trochodendraceae. The record is from the annotation of a GenBank genome assembly.
ACGAUCAUACCAGCACUAAUUAGCACACCAGAUCCUAUCAAAACUCCUCAGUUAAGUCUACUUGGACGAGAGUAGUACUAGGAUGGGUGACCUCCUGGGAAGUCCUUGUGUUUUACCC